AAAACUUCUCACUUACUGCGUAUGCCAAGUAAAUCCGAUUCUGCUAACCCAUAUGGCGUUGGUGAUCAUCAGGAUCUUGAAGGAAUUCUUUCUACUCACCAAGUAGAAUUUUUAAAAACGAAAUCUUUCUUGCUCGCGUCUGCCACGACACCGUGCACUCUUUGUAGCAGCUGUAACCAGAUGAAAGGGCUUGACGGCGCUGCUCAUUGGAAUCGGAGGGAAGGAUAUGUAAAUACUCUUUAGUCUUAGCUUCUCGUCCAACUGACCAAAUAAUAGCAUCUCCCCGUCUGUGCGCGCGCUCGAGAGAGAUAAAUUUGGCUUCAAGGGAGAAAGGAGCUAAAAUGGUCUUUCUAAGGAGCUGGGCAUUGAUUUAUCUCUGGAGAAGAAAAUGUUGGAUGGUCGUUUUGAUCCAUUGAGCUCUACGUGGACUUGACCCGAGAUCCGAGACCGGGCGGUGUGCCUCGCUCAGUCGCACCAAGGCACUGAUAUCUCCCAUCUCCGAAGCUCUCGAAUUUGACUCUCUUUAUAACAACAACAACAACAACAACAACAACAACAAAGAAGAACAAGAGAAGAUAAAUUGGUGAGUUGAAA
Molecule: long non-coding RNA, 594 nt
Organism: Populus nigra (black poplar)
Lineage: Eukaryota; Viridiplantae; Streptophyta; Magnoliopsida; Malpighiales; Salicaceae
Exons: 3
Source: RefSeq, a predicted model, not a curated record